GGGGUUCCCGCGGCGGGCGGGCGGGCUGCGCCUCCGCUCGCCUUCUCAGUAGCUCCGUAGGCGUGUGGCCGUUUCUCCGCCAAUCUGAGCGCACCGCGCCACAGCAUCCUGUGGUCCCCUGCAGAUCCCACAGCGCCCUGGCCAGAACUAGUGCUGCAGGUCCGGCCGUGCCAACCCCCUCCCGGCGGGCCCCAGGGAGCUCACACGGAACUCGAGACCAGUUUUCCUUCUCCAAAAUAAAAGAUUUGGAAAACAGAAAAACAGUGGACGGUGUCCGUGGUCUUUGAAUCCUUUCUACAGGUCCUUCUCAAAUAUCAGCUGCUGAACUAUUCCCUUGGAAUUAGACUAGCAAUUUAUAAAGUACAUAACUGCAUGGUGCUAGCUUCAGAAAAAGUGUUCUGUUGUUGUUGCUGUUGUCAUUUGUUUGUUUUUUAGAGACAGGGGUCUCACUCUGUCACCCAGGCUGGAAUGCAGCGGUACAAUCAUAGCUCACUGGAACUUCAAAUUCCCAGGCUCAAG
This 519-nucleotide long non-coding RNA is filed under the name Homo sapiens (human). Its description in RNAcentral is "HSALNT0372388". The record is from RNAcentral. Lineage: Eukaryota; Metazoa; Chordata; Mammalia; Primates; Hominidae.